RNAcentral lists this ribosomal RNA (451 nucleotides) under uncultured Fibrobacter sp. RNAcentral describes it as "partial 16S ribosomal RNA". It matches the Rfam family "Bacterial small subunit ribosomal RNA", at positions 341 to 792 of the family's 1533-position model. Lineage: Bacteria; Pseudomonadati; Fibrobacterota; Fibrobacteria; Fibrobacterales; Fibrobacteraceae. The record is from RNAcentral.
ACGGGAGGCAGCAGUAGGGAAUAUUGCACAAUGGGGGGAACCAUGAUGCAGCAACGCCACGUGUGGGAAGAAGCAUUUCGGUGUGUAAACCACUGUCGUGAGGGAAUAAUGCUUGGUCUCGGCCAAGUUGAAUGUACCUCGAAAGGAAGCACCGGCAAACUUCGUGCCAGCAGCCGCGGUAAUACGAGGGGUGCAAGCGUUGUUCGGAAUCACUGGGCGUAAAGGGAGCGUAGGCGGAGAUGCAAGCAGUCUGUACAAUACCGGGGCCCAACCCCGGACUUGCAGACUGGACUGUGUCUCUUGGAUAGUUCAGGGGCAGGCGGAAUUCCUGGUGUAGCGGUGGAAUGCGUAGAGAUCAGGAAGAACACCGAUGGCGAAGGCAGCCUGCUGGGGACUUAUCGACGCUGAGGCUAGAAAGUGCGGGUAGCAAACAGGAUUAGAUACCCUGGUA